This 116-nucleotide ribosomal RNA is filed under the name Pteropus alecto (black flying fox). The record is from RNAcentral. Lineage: Eukaryota; Metazoa; Chordata; Mammalia; Chiroptera; Pteropodidae.
AUCUAUGGCCAUGCUACCCUGAACAAGCCCGAUCCCGUCUGAUAUCGGAAGCUAAGCAGGGUCGGGCCUGGUUAGUACUUUGGGAGACCACUUAGGAAGACCAAGUGCUGUAGGCG